UUGAUUCUAUAAUAAUGGUAUUUCCUAAUAAUCGGAGUCCUUUUCUACCCAUGCAGAUCUGAAAGAUGGAAAAAUGCAGCUAAUACCACGAGAUCAGGAAGGGAUGUCUGGGAGUCCUGACUGGAAAAUGGAAGAACUUUCCAAAAGGGGAAAGACUCUGAAAGCCGACAUCAGGUCCAGUCAGGUAAAAAGAACAUCCUUGUUUCAUCUGAAGUUAAAAGGAGUCCAAAGCCAGCGACAGGAUCCCCUCUCUUGGCUGGCUAAACAGAUUGAAGUGGUGAGCAUCAGCUUGACUUCCAGAGAUGAUCAGAUUGUCCUAACAAUGGGAAGGAAUCAGAAAGCUUUAGUCAGCAUGGAACUUGCUACCAGAA
Molecule: long non-coding RNA, 371 nt
Filed under: Chrysemys picta bellii (western painted turtle)
Lineage: Eukaryota; Metazoa; Chordata; Testudines; Emydidae
Description: lncRNA (ENSCPBG00000015487.1)
Source: RNAcentral